CCCCACCAUUUCUUCUGUUGCAACAUGAGUAUCUAGACAUAGUUCUCAAUGCUAUUCAGCAGGAUCUCCUUGUAAAUCUAUUCUAGGUUGUGUCUGAUAAGCCCAAGCUCCCGAUCCCUCCCACUCCCUCCCCCUCCCAUCAGGCAACCACAAGUCUCUUCUCCAAGUCCAUGAUUUUCUUUUCUGAGGAGAUGUUCAUUUGUGCUGGAUAUUAGAUUCCAGUUAUAAGUGAAAUCAUAUGGUAUUUGCCUUUGUCUUUCUGGCUCAUUUCACUCAGAUGAGAUUCUCUAGUUCCAUCCAUGUUGCUGCAAAUGGCAUUAUGUCAUUCUUUUUUAUGGCUGAGUAGUAUUCCAUUGUGUAUAUAUACCACUUCUUCCAAAUCCAAUCAUCUGUCGAUGGACAUUUAGGUUGUUUCCAUGUCCUGGCUAUUGUGAAUAGUGCUGCAAUGAACAUGCGGGUGCAUGUGUCUCUUUUAAGUAGAGUUUUGUCCGGAUAGAUGCCCAAGAGUGGGAUUGCUGGGUCAUAUGGAAGUUCUAUGUAUAGAUUUCUAAGGUAUCUCCAAAUGGUUCUCCAUAGUGGCUGUACCAGUUGACAUUCCCACCAACAGUGCAGGAGGGUUCCCUUUUCUCCACAGCCCCUCCAGCACUUGUUAUUUGUGGACUUAUUAAUGAUGGCCAUUCUGACUGGUGUGAGGUGGUAUCUCAUGGUAGUUUUGAUUUGCAUUUCUCUUAUAAUCAGCGAUGUUGAGCAUUUUUUCAUGUGUUUGCUGGCCAUCUGUAUAUCUUCUUUGGAGAAAUGUCUAUUCAGGGCUUUUGCCCAUUUUUCCAUUAAUUGAUUGGUUUUUUUGCUGUUGGGUCGUAUAAGUUGUUUAUAUAUUCUAGAGAUUAAGCCCUUGUCAGUUGCAUCAUUUGAAACUAUUUUCUCCCAUUCUGUAAGUUGUCUUUUUGUUUUCUUUUGGGUUUCCUUUGCUGUGCAAAAGCUUUUCAGUUUGAUGAGGUCCCAUGGAUUUAUUUUUGCUCUAGUUUCUAUUGCUUUGGGAGACUGACCUGAGAAAAUAUUCAUGAUGUUGAUG
RNAcentral lists this long non-coding RNA (1072 nucleotides) under Sus scrofa (pig). RNAcentral's name for it is "lncRNA (ENSSSCG00040027839.1)". Lineage: Eukaryota; Metazoa; Chordata; Mammalia; Artiodactyla; Suidae. The record is from RNAcentral.